This 262-nucleotide ribosomal RNA is filed under the name uncultured archaeon. RNAcentral's name for it is "partial 16S ribosomal RNA". It matches the Rfam family "Archaeal small subunit ribosomal RNA", at positions 717 to 982 of the family's 1478-position model. The record is from RNAcentral.
AGUCACUGACAUUAGAUACCCGUGUAGUCCAGGGUGUAAACGCUGCAGACUUGGUGUUGGAAGUCCUUUGGGGGCAUUCAGUGCCGGAGAGAAGUUGUUAAGUCUGCUACUUGGGAGUACGUCCGCAAGGAUGAAACUUAAAGGAAUUGGCGGGGAGCACCGCAACGGGAGGAGCGUGCGGUUUAAUUGGAUUCAACGCCGAAAACUCACCAGCAGCGACUGUUACAUGAAAGUCAGGUUGAUGACCUUACUAGAUUUUCAG